Molecule: long non-coding RNA, 2702 nt
Organism: Oryzias melastigma (Indian medaka)
Lineage: Eukaryota; Metazoa; Chordata; Actinopteri; Beloniformes; Adrianichthyidae
Exons: 2
Source: RefSeq, a predicted model, not a curated record
CAUUGAUUCAGUCGGACUCGCUGUGGAGCCACUCUACUGGUUAUUAAUUGUGUGCAUGUGUGUGUACGCGCCAAGUCUGGCAUGUGCUCGAAUGUGUUUUCCUGGCAUGACGAGCCAGCCUUGACGUUAAACAUCUGUCUGGUGAUUCAUUCAGUUGGAGAUGCAGAGUGACACUGAGGCACAUCUGCCGAGGUGUGGGCAGUAUCUUCAAAACCUGCCCCUCGUAAAGGCCCCCGGGUUCAUCACCCAGAAUCUCCCCCGCUUUCUUCUGAUGGUUGCAUCAUUUGCCCUCCUCUCCGAGCGGCUAGUUCACAAAAGUGACAUCCUGGGAUUUUUUUCCCAGUUGUGUAUGCUGAGGAGUAGCAGAUGUGUGGCCUUGAGGAGAUUCUGAAAUGGCAAACACAAUGAAACUCAAAAGUCUGGGGGAGAAAUGGAAAAAAGUAGUUUUCAUUUUAACAUAAGAAUGAAGAGCUACUCUUUUUACAUUUUUCUUCUUCUGUAUUUUCUAAUCCUAAACAUUAAUGAGUACAUGUUGAGCAUUUAAAAAAGGAAUAAUCCUAGUUUUAUUUAUUUUUAUGUGAAGAUCUUAAGAGAUCUUUUUUUUUAAAUGUAUGCCUUUCUAACACUCUAAUUAAGUGCUAUGUUCAGAGUUCAGGUCAGCUUAUUGUAUUUUUUUAAAACAGACCCACAUUAAAGUCAGGGACUAUAAUAAAUCCAUUCCAGCCAAUGGAAAGAUUGAGAAAUCAUUUGAGUCUAAGUGACAGAUGCUUCUCUUCACUACUGUGUGGGGCAUUGUAAUCACUUGAACGAAUACAGCUUGACUAAUUAGGGUUAUGCAGUUGGCUGGCUCGCUCCAAACAACGCUGAAGUCAUGGAGAUUGCAGCGCGGCUCUCAUAGUUAUUGCUAGAGUCGAUUUCAGUCAGAUGGGUUAAAUUUCUCGGCUAGAGUUACACUUUUUUUAAAAUUUCAUUCAUUUUAUCUCUUGAUAAAAUAAAAAUUUGUUUGGUUAAGCUGAAAAACUGCUUUGUUUACUGCUUUACAGGAUGAGGAGAACGCAUGACACAUUAUACAGAACGACUAACAAACACAAUCGCUGAAGACAAUGAUGAUGAUGGCUGAAAAGGUCAAAGAUCACCUCGGAGCUGUCACACCUGGAGAGCCUCUGUCCUUAUCGUUACCUUUGAGACACCUGGAUGAGCGGUGAAACCGUUGGCGGAUCAAACUAAAACAGGUCGGGGAAUCUUACACAAAAGCUGCUGCGACUCCAAUCAGGACCGGCGAAACUGCAUAUUGAUUCAGCCCACUAUAAACAACUGUAGAAAGCACACGAUGGGUAAAUUCUGUCACAAUGAAUAUUUGAAUGCACUGCAGAGGCUGUCAGUGACUGCUUGGUGACAAUUCCUCACGUUCAUUUAACUUAAAUGACCUUUCAUGACUUGUUGAUCAGCACAGCGUAACUCAAAAAGACAUUAAAGUGAUCCUUUGAAAAGCUCCUUCAAGCUUUUUGCUUCUUGUAUUGAUCUCAGAGUUUCUGCACACAGGCUACAUUUCAGGUCAAUUAGUCAUAUUUGGGUAUGUGCAAAUUACAUUUUUUUUUUUUUUCACUCGGAGGUCCUGAGGCUCUGAAACUGCUCUUUUGGCCCUCACAGCACAGCUCAGAUUCUCGGUGGAGCUUGACAUUUUGAUCCGCAACAGAGACUAAAUGAUGACCGUUUCCUCGUAAAUACUGCUGCCUGCAGGGGAGGGUUUAAAUAGACCAAGAAUGACUUUUUCACUCAUUCAUUUACAUUCAGAGUUUAUCUUAAUAUAAAAGAAGUGUUUGGAAUUUACGCAUUUAAUGUGUGUGUGAAGCUCAAGGGUACAAACUGAAAGGUAGAAAAUAAUUUUAAAGACAAGUUUGGUUUUUAAUGUCAGAAAAUAAAGCACUUCUAAUCGGUAAAGGGUAAAAAGAUGCAAUUGAUUCAUCAGUCUUUUUUUAUUAAGAUUCCACCACAUUCUCUCUAUUACUCUGUUUUGUUUUUAAAGAGAAUAUUUUUAUUUAUGUUAGAGUAAAUAAGCUGCUUUUGCUUGAAGUGCUUGGCAUUUGUGAUUACUUUUACUAGAGCUCUUCUCUGUACAACUCAAUUGUUUUUGUUUCAAACCGAUUGAGUGAGCAUGCAUCCACAUCUGAGAAAAAUUAUUCAUUUAAGCUUAAUGAUACCCUAUUUCUUUCUUUAAAAAUGUGGGCUAAUCAUCUGUUGCUUUUGGGUUUUCUUAUGUGUUUUUUCUUUCUUACACUUUUUUCCCUUUUUCAAUUUCUUUUUGGCUUCUCCUGAAGAGGCUUGAGGAGCAUGUCAGCUUUACCUGGUGACGAGGUGCAGCCUCCACACUUCAGAUUUCUCACUAAACUCUCAAACUAAAUGAAAAUGUCAAGUACUUUCAGUGCUUUGCUUUAAAUUAAGUUAAAAAUAGCUGUUUCUGUUCGAUUUGAUGACAAUCUUAUUUUUACAAUUUAAGGACUACUUAUUAGAAUUUAGCCUUAAAUGUCAUCAUAAGACCAGCAUCAUACUAACAGCUUUACAAACAUUUGCUCAAUAUUUGUUGUUAUUUUACACUUAUAACAGGUUGGCCCUGAAGUGCAAAUUACACCAGCAAAUCACUUAAUGCAAAAACCUAUAGAAGAUUACAAUGACAACUAAAAAUGCAGUAGAAGCACUAAUAA